AUCAUGGCAUCAAUCACCUUGCAUGUUUUAAUUAAAUCCCUCAAGAAAAUUAGUUUUAUUAAAACCCUAUGUUUGUUUGCAAAAUUAUUCCAAGGUUUAAUAAAACCCUCCCACCUUUAUUCAUAUUUCAAUUGAACCGAAUAAAAAAUAUUUUUAAUAUGCUUUCAAGUGGUUUAAAACCAAAUGCCUAGUUUUUGUAAAUAGUGCCACUACUUUAAAACCUUAUCAAACUUCCUCUGAUCCCUUCUCUCGUUUCUCUUUGCUUCCUGGAAGAAUUCGUGAGAAAAAGAAGACAGAAGAAAUUGAGAAGAGAAGCAAAGAAGCACUGUUCAGCCACCAGUCCAACAGCAUGUCGCCACCAUCCUGUUCUUUGUUUUUCUUCAACCAGUGACCCAGAACGUGAACUCCUUGCUGGCCAACGUUUUUCCCAACCACGACCAGACUGCUUUUCCUCCCCUUUUAGUUCCCCAGCCGAGGAUCCUCAUUGAACCCUAGUUUCCCUUCUUCCCCUCCUUGUGCCGCCACCAAUUCCUCUUCUCCGCGCAUGACUGCAGACAGAGGCUUUUAGAGACAGUUUCAGAAAGUUCAGACAAAUCCCGAGCCCCGACGGAAGAUCGACGUCGCCCUGCAGCUCCGGCCAUGCCCCGGCGUCGUUGACACCUCCAUAGUCUUCCUGGAUCUCGUCGCCGACGACUCCCGGUUGACCCCGGUCCCAGCGCCUACUCCACCACGUCCGCCCAGUCGAGGCACACGUCCGGCGCCGUCUUCUCCCUCGCCGUUCACCCUCCAUCGUCAGGGCCGUGCUCGACGCCAUCUUCUCCAAGCCCGGCCUGUUGUUAUGCAUCUCCGUCAGAUAAGUUUCCACACGCCUGGAGAUAGUUCCUUUCUACGCAUGAGCCAAGCAAAAUCAGCAUGUCAAAGCAGCCCACUGGCUUAAGGCCUUGAUCUCUUCCCUGAUCGAUCUCACGGCCAGAGAUGUUUCAGUUUGCAUGGGAGCUUUCCAAAAUCAACAUCAACAAGGAGUAUAGCUGGUUUGUUUCCUUUGGCUCCAAACGACACUAUGCUCAAUUCCAGGGAUGCAAUUUAACAGUUGCCGCUUCAGUCAGCAUUUGCUUCUUCCCGGAUAGGAUCGCGAAGUGGUGUGGUGAGAUACGGCAAGUUCUCCGGAUGUCCCUCGGCAAGCUUUAACGGGCAAGCAUUUUCCCCUAUACUUCUGCCCCUGCAGAAGUCGCUCACCUAUUUUAUUUUGCCUUCUCCCUCAUGCUAUCCUCAAGUUGCGUUCUUCUCACGUGUCCCUUCCACUUGUUACCUCAAGCAGCCUAUAUUGCCUCCACUAACCACCUACAGCUAUUGUUUGGUUAUCGGGUCUGCCUUGCGAGUCGUAGUGCAUGCUAGUGCUGUUUAUAUCUCGUUACCGUUACCGCUAUCUUAUCGGGUUAUCAGUUGGGAAUCAUGACAUAUGGUUUAUGGAUAUAUCUGUUGAGGGUAUCAUGGUUACUUGUUAAUAGUUGUUAGCGGAGGCAUCGGUGGGUCAGCUGAUCGUUUUGUGACGGCUCACUUGUGUUUCUUUAAAGCUUAGGACCCCAAGUUCUUGUUAUCUGUUCCGAGACUAAGCGCUCUAACCAUACGUGGGUAUGUUUCUGGGUCUCCCCUCGACCACUGCCAGAAUCUACAGCUUUGUCCAGUGGCCACAACUAGUUUCGUAAUGUUUUACCAUUUGUUGUUUGCGUGCAUGCCAGCAUGCUACUUAUUUACUUUGGGAAGCCCCUGGGUGCCUUGUAUCCCUUGUUUCUGGUAUGCACGUAUAGGUCGUGGAGCCUCUGCGAAGUGGUUUAUCGCCCCAGUGUGUGUUUAAACCACCUAGCACGUUGACACACAUAGCUAAGUCCGCUUCGGAGAUACGGCCGAACUUCGAUACGGGUUCAACUUAGUUAGGUGGCUUCCUGGACAUUGUUGUCGUGAAGGAGAGUGCGAGUCGUUAUAUCCACCUGUCGCAAGUGGGUUGAUCGUGCGUGUGGGCACAUUUGGGCACCCCUGCAGGGUUAAAUCUUAUCGAUAAGCCGUGUCCGCGGUUAUGGACGACUUGGAGCUGUAUGACUCGACCAUAGACCACUUACACCCGUUGUUUCAAUACUAAUAACUUGCGUAGUAAGUUAGCACAACUUCAAUAAAAUCUGGGUAAAACUUGUCAACUGUGUGAGU
Molecule: long non-coding RNA, 2202 nt
Organism: Lolium perenne
Lineage: Eukaryota; Viridiplantae; Streptophyta; Magnoliopsida; Poales; Poaceae
Source: RefSeq, a predicted model, not a curated record